Molecule: long non-coding RNA, 836 nt
Filed under: Crocodylus porosus (Australian saltwater crocodile)
Lineage: Eukaryota; Metazoa; Chordata; Crocodylia; Crocodylidae
Description: lncRNA (ENSCPRG00005007022.1)
Source: RNAcentral
GCGAUUCUCUGGUAACUUACUUCUGUUUCUCCAGCGAUGAAAGAAGCUUUUGAAAGCAAAUAAGCUGCGUCCAGCAGGUGAAGUCCAUGUAGCUAUGUACAGAAGACGUCUUCACAUAGAAAUGGACACAGGAAAUAAUGAAUUGCACUAAUUCAGCUGAUCACUUACCCAUUUCAAAUGACACUGGUCAAUUUUUUUUUUUGGACAACAUUUCAAAUUUUGAAAUAAGAAAAAUAAACUUGGUGCAAACUAUCAAUAUGUCAUGGAUAAAGGAGAAGAAUUCUUACUGCUUGCAUAUUCUCUGGUUCAUCCUGGCAACAUCACUUCAACGCUACCACGAAUUCUACCACAUGCCGAUUUUUCAUCAGAUGGAGAGCGGACGGAAAUGUUUCAAGUGUCAAAAGAUAAUAUUUCAUAUUUUGAAAAAGGUUGGUCUUAAGGGAUGGAUGCCUGACUGCAUUUUCUGUGAAGUGCAAAGAGCAAAGGCUUUAUUCUGGCAUUACUUAAGGGUUCAGAUUGCACACCUAGAAGUGAAAUAAAGCACAAAUGAGUAGACUGCUCUAAAUUGUUAGUGGGACUUGAGAAGAUAAAAGGUGAGUUACAAGUAACAGAUUUAAAACCUAUUUAUGAGCAUGGGAUGAAACGAGCAAGCUAUUGCCUUGGCAGCACAGAACUGGAUGUAAAAUACUUUUAAAUGCAUAGGACCUCAGGCUUGAUCUCAUUAUGCAGUGGGGAAGAUAUAUAUGCAUGUGCAAAUGGGCAGAAGUCAAUGGACAGAAGUAAAUGAAAAUCAGGACUCCUAGUUAGGGCUGAAAAGGCAAGGAAGGUGAGAUACA